RNAcentral lists this small RNA (127 nucleotides) under Marmota monax (woodchuck). The record is from RNAcentral. Lineage: Eukaryota; Metazoa; Chordata; Mammalia; Rodentia; Sciuridae.
GCUAGGUGUGGUGGCACACACCUGUAAUCCCAGCAGCCCAGGAGGCUGAGGCAGGAGGAUCAUGAGUUCAAAGCCAGCCGCAGCAACUUAGCAAGGCCCUAAGCAACUCAGUGAGACCCUAUCUCUU